AGAGAGAGGCAGAAAGGCAGUAGACAGGGAGAGAGAGGAAGGGAAUAAAACAGCAACACAGAGAGUGAUGAGGCAGAGACCCACAGGGAUGGAGACAGAGACACGGGAGAGAUGGUGAGACACAGAAAGAUUGAGAUUGAGAAGGAAGACUUGGUAAAGGGAGACCCUGGGACAGACUCAGAGGCUGAGAGAGACCAAGACUGAGAGACAGCAGAAGAAACAGAGAUGGCUCCUGUGAGGCUGGCUGGAAGGGGCAGCCAAGAUGUCCUGGGCUCCAUCAGACACUGAUGAUUCCAUUCCGUGUCAUGCUCACUCGAACCCUGCAAGAUUCCACCCUGACCUCAGCCCUGCUAAAUCCUGGCAACUUACCUGGGAGAUGCUACUUCCCGACUGUGUGUCCUUGAACAAGUCAUUCGAUCUCUCUCAUCUUCCGUUUUCUCAUCUGCAAAGAGUCGGCAAUGACUCAUUGGGUCAUUGUGAG
This 481-nucleotide long non-coding RNA is filed under the name Homo sapiens (human). RNAcentral describes it as "HSALNT0354803". The record is from RNAcentral. Lineage: Eukaryota; Metazoa; Chordata; Mammalia; Primates; Hominidae.